Triticum urartu is the source of this 1073-nucleotide non-coding RNA. Lineage: Eukaryota; Viridiplantae; Streptophyta; Magnoliopsida; Poales; Poaceae. The record is from RefSeq and is a predicted model, not a curated record.
UUCUAUGCAGCUCCCCUCACCCACUCGCCCAACCCCUACCCGUCUCUUAUCCAUUCCAGUGACUGAGAGUCAGAGGAGAUGCGGCAGCGACACCGAUCUGCUUGCGGCGGCCAUGGCGGGUCUUGCGGCGUGGGACAGCUGCUUCCGGCGUCCGACGGCAGCACGCAUCCCCAGAGGCCGACCUGCUCAAGCUACGCGCAGCUCGUCCACCUUCCACUCAAAGCGACAACGGCGGCCGCGGAGGACCAGUGGCAGCCAUGGCUGGUCUCGAUUCGACGUGCGGCGGCAGGGCUAGGCGCGUGUAGGCUGCUCGGCAUCAGCGGCCGACAGCGCGCGCCUGUGCAAGGAGGUCCGCGUCGAAGAAUAUCAGAGCCGCCUUGUUCUUGAACUCACAGAGGAGCAUGUGGUCGCCCUCUGGGUCCUUGUACUGGCGAGGCGACGAAUCGGUGACCACGCUCCGGGGCGAGCGAGGCCGGGGUGCACGGCGAGCCAAGCCACUAUCCUGGGCGCUGUAAUUGGAAAUUUCGGGCCGAGCGAGCACAUCUGGUUGGUUAGCUGGCGCCUUGGCGGGAGCUACUGUUGCUCCUCGCUGGGAACAACCACCAUAUCCUCAGGCGGCGGUAGCGACUCGUUCGUGUGCGCGCUGGGCCGGAGCGUCACGGGCGCCAUCACGGCGACCACACCAAGCGCAAGGGCCUUGGGAACACGCCAGAUGCCCCUACACUACAAGCUUUCUCGGAAGAUGGCAUUAGGCAGUGUUCUUUCAUGGCACUACUAUCUAUUUCAUGAGGAACCACUUGGCACAUCUGUAGGAUCGCAAUGUUCAGCCUGGCUUCUAUCUUUGAUCUGGAUGUAAGAUGCGGUGACCUUGGCGCCACAACCAUGGAGACAGCCAGUCUGGACAUGAUGGUGGCAGGGGUUCAGCAGCGAGAAAAGGAGGAGAGUCUGAAAAGUAAGCACAAUUACUGAUCAUUUUUACAAUUGCUGAUUUAGAUUCCGAUUCAUACUCUAAAAUAGGAGGGCUAAAAUUCUGUAUUCAACCGCUAUAAAUAAACUACACAAGAUGAUAGUGA